UGGGACAAGAACAUCCCCUGGAGCCUGCU
RNAcentral lists this non-coding RNA (29 nucleotides) under Homo sapiens (human). Lineage: Eukaryota; Metazoa; Chordata; Mammalia; Primates; Hominidae. The record is from RNAcentral.